UGAAAACUACAAACUACUACAAAGUUGC
RNAcentral lists this small RNA (28 nucleotides) under Bombyx mori (domestic silkworm). RNAcentral describes it as "ovarian small RNA-30334". The record is from RNAcentral. Lineage: Eukaryota; Metazoa; Arthropoda; Insecta; Lepidoptera; Bombycidae.